RNAcentral lists this small RNA (143 nucleotides) under Escherichia coli. RNAcentral describes it as "QUAD RNA". It matches the Rfam family "Short Intergenic Abundant RNA". From Rfam's summary of the family: This family contains multiple ncRNA from E. coli that were identified in a large scale screen of E. coli, were they were called candidates 43,55 and 61. These RNAs have also been identified by other groups and called QUAD RNAs. Lineage: Bacteria; Pseudomonadati; Pseudomonadota; Gammaproteobacteria; Enterobacterales; Enterobacteriaceae. The record is from RNAcentral.
UUGACAAUCUUAUCGUGAAGGCAUAAUUUCAGGAGUGAGGGUAGAGCGGGGUUUCCCCCGCCCUGGUAGUCUUAGUAUGCUGGGUAGCUAAUCACUAAGAGCACCACGAUGAUGAGUAGCUUCAUCAUGACCCUUUCCUUAUU